RNAcentral lists this transfer RNA (85 nucleotides) under Chloroflexota bacterium. RNAcentral describes it as "tRNA-Ser". It matches the Rfam family "tRNA". From Rfam's summary of the family: Transfer RNA (tRNA) molecules are approximately 80 nucleotides in length. Their secondary structure includes four short double-helical elements and three loops (D, anti-codon, and T loops). Further hydrogen bonds mediate the characteristic L-shaped molecular structure. tRNAs have two regions of fundamental functional importance: the anti-codon, which is responsible for specific mRNA codon recognition, and the 3' end, to which the tRNAs corresponding amino acid is attached (by aminoacyl-tRNA synthetases). tRNAs cope with the degeneracy of the genetic code in two manners: having more than one tRNA (with a specific anti-codon) for a particular amino acid; and 'wobble' base-pairing, i.e. permitting non-standard base-pairing at the 3rd anti-codon position. Lineage: Bacteria; Bacillati; Chloroflexota. The record is from RNAcentral.
GGAAGUGGACCGGCAUGGACGAGGGAACACUCUUGAAAAGUGUCGCCCGCAAGGGUCGUGAGUUCGAUUCUCACCACUUCCGCCA